AAUUCGACUAAAAAAUAGAUUUUGAUAUCUAUAUUUAUGACACACGCACACACAAAUGCGCAUGACUCGCAUGUUUUGAAGAAGAGGAUGAUGAGUUAAUUAAAAUAAGCUACGUAUAUAUAGAAUGUAUAAUUGAUUUGAAAUAUUUAUAAUUUUUGUAAAAUAUAUGCAUACAUAAUUGAUUUCUUUUUUAGAAAACAUAUUAAAAAAUUAACAUACAUUCAAUUAUCAUUUGUGCAGGGAUGAAAAUUAACCUUGCAUAUCAAAAGAAUGAACUCAAAAGAGAAAGGUUAAACACAUGCAAAGAUUACAUAAAUGCUCUAAAGUGUUGGAUUUAGGAAGCAGAUUCUAAGAUAAGAGCACAUUUACUGACCAAGCAAUUAGGACAGAGUUUUUCACAGCUUGAGACUGGCCAGUUUCCAUGGUAAUCUUGAUAUCUGAUAUGUUGGGAUGGUCAAUCCUGUAUCUAUUUUACGCGUCCAGCAUUCUAGCUAAUCUCGGAGUUUUACUGAGGAAUAACGUGAAACAAGGCAACUGAAAAAGGAAAACUUAUUCCGGGGAAUCGUUUUUAUUGUGAAUUCAGAUUAAAGUAAUACGUCCUGGCAUACGUAUACAGAAAUGAGCUGCUCGAGCAAACCGAUUAUGUGCAGACGCAACACACAAUGAGAUAAACAAUGUUAUCAAAGAGUGGUUCCGGUACGCAUGUGACCGUGAAGGAGGUCGAAAAGAAA
This is a long non-coding RNA of Ostrea edulis (European flat oyster), 731 nucleotides long. RefSeq lists it as uncharacterized. NCBI's taxonomy places the organism in Eukaryota, Metazoa, Mollusca, Bivalvia, Ostreida, Ostreidae. The record is from RefSeq and is a predicted model, not a curated record. The transcript has 2 exons.